GACGAACGCUGGCGGCGUGCUUAACACAUGCAAGUCGAGCGGUAAGGCCCUUUCGGGGGUACACGAGCGGCGAACGGGUGAGUAACACGUGGGUGACCUGCCCUCAGCUCUGGGAUAAGCCUGGGAAACUGGGUCUAAUACCGGAUAUGACUUCACAUCGCAUGGUGUGUUGUGGAAAGUCCUGGGCUUUAUUGUCUGGGUUCGGCUGGGGAUGGGCCCGCGGCCUAUCAGCUUGUUGGUGGGGUGAUGGCCUACCAAGGCGACGACGGGUAGCCGGCCUGAGAGGGCGACCGGCCACACUGGGACUGAGACACGGCCCAGACUCCUACGGGAGGCAGCAGCGGGGAAUAUUGCGCAAUGGGCGGAAGCCUGACGCAGCGACGCCGCGUGGGGGAUGACGGCC
This 403-nucleotide ribosomal RNA is filed under the name uncultured bacterium. RNAcentral describes it as "bacterial SSU rRNA". It matches the Rfam family "Bacterial small subunit ribosomal RNA", at positions 28 to 416 of the family's 1533-position model. The record is from RNAcentral.